UACGGGGGGGGGCAAGCGUUGUUCGGAAUUACUGGGCGUAAAGGGCUCGUAGUUGGCCAACUAAGUCAGACGUGAAAUCCCUCGGCUUAACCGGGGAACUGCAUCUGAUACUGGAUGGCUUGAGUUUGGGAGAGGGAUGCGGAAUUCCAGGUGUAGCGGUGAAAUGCGUAGAUAUCUGGAGGAACACCGGUGGCGAAGGCGGCAUCCUGGACCAACACUGACACUGAGGAGCGAAAGCGUGGGGAGCGAACAGG
Molecule: ribosomal RNA, 254 nt
Filed under: uncultured bacterium
Lineage: Bacteria
Description: partial 16S ribosomal RNA
Rfam family: Bacterial small subunit ribosomal RNA
Source: RNAcentral